UCUGUGUUCAAGGCAACGACCUACGCAUGAAGUAAACAGAAAAUAAUUAUACUACGUUUUUAACAUUCACAAUGCAAUGUGUCGUUUCUCGUGAGGUAAUUACAAAAAAGACUGAUUAGUCUGAAUAGUCAAUUACUUACAUUCUGAGUUUCUGCAGCAAUUUGAGCAAUACGACAGCUCACAGCCUUUAGUAGAAAAUUCUUGCUAAGAAUAUUAUAAUUUGCAGUUUUAUGAUGCUUCAAAAGAAUUACCUCAAUACAAUGUCCAUGACAAUGUCAUUCAGCCACAUUCCAUCGUCUAAUGUCGCAAGUGACUCUUUUGUCAAUAAAGGCACACCAAAAGACCUCAAAGGAAUUUUUAUUGCAUUUUUAAUUUAAUCUUUAUCCGUCUCUAUAGAUCUUUCUAGGUCUGUUCAUGAUGAACUAGGACGUCAUAAAAGGCGGAAAUCUUUGAUCUACCCAGUGCAUUUUUACACUAAAUUGAAAAACAGCACAGGGAGGUGAAGCAGAGGAAAACAAAGCAGAAGAAAGAGAAAGUGAAGAAAAGAAAAAUAGAAGGUAAGAAGACAUACCUGAGGAACGAAACUAUACAGUUCUGGGAAGGCUGUCAGUGCCAGGCACCAAAAGAAAGUACACGGUCACUCAAGAUGAACUGAAGAGAAGAGUCAUGGCAGAAAACAUGUCAAACAACAUGAUAAGAAGCCUGAUUAGGGUUCGUAAAGAGGAUCUCCCUCAGGAGCUCAGAGAACAACGGCCAAUAAAAGCCAAGACAAAAAUAAGCAUUGCAAAGAAUACACUCU
Cyprinus carpio (common carp) is the source of this 799-nucleotide long non-coding RNA. RefSeq lists it as uncharacterized. The record is from RefSeq and is a predicted model, not a curated record. The transcript is spliced from 4 exons. NCBI's taxonomy places the organism in Eukaryota, Metazoa, Chordata, Actinopteri, Cypriniformes, Cyprinidae.